Molecule: ribosomal RNA, 465 nt
Filed under: uncultured bacterium
Lineage: Bacteria
Description: bacterial SSU rRNA
Rfam family: Bacterial small subunit ribosomal RNA
Source: RNAcentral
CCUACGGGUCGCACCAGUGGGGAAUAUUGCACAAUGGGCGCAAGCCUGAUGCAGCCAUGCCGCGUGUAUGAAGAAGGUCUUCGGGUCGUAAAGUACUUUCAGCGGGGAGGAAGGUGUUGAGGUUAAUAACCUUAGCAAUUGACGUUACCCGCAGAAGAAGCACCGGCUAACUCCGUGCCAGCAGCCGCGGUAACACGGAGGGUGCAAGCGUUAAUCGGAAUUACUGGGCGUAAAGCGCACGCAGGCGGUCUGUCAAGUAGGAUGUGAAAUCCCCGGGCUCAACCUGGGAACUGCAUUCGAAACUGGCAGGCUAGAGUCUUGUAGAGGGGGGUAGAAUUCCAGGUGUAGCGGUGAAAUGCGUAGAGAUCUGGAGGAAUACCGGUGGCGAAGGCGGCCCCCUGGACAAAGACUGACGCUCAGGUGCGAAAGCGUGGGGAGCAAACAGGAUUAGAUACCCCCGUAGUC